This 583-nucleotide long non-coding RNA is filed under the name Homo sapiens (human). RNAcentral's name for it is "non-protein coding lnc-DNTTIP2-2:1". The record is from RNAcentral. Lineage: Eukaryota; Metazoa; Chordata; Mammalia; Primates; Hominidae.
GCACCUGGGCUCCGCCCGCGGUCAGAUGCUGAGGCCAGUGUCGACGCGACCUUGGGUCCAAACCCGCUGCCGAGGGCAACGCGUCUAAAAAACUUAGCCGGUGCAGCUGCGCACUGAGUGACACCUCUCUCGGUGCUUAAGGCUGGUAGCAAAACUCUCAAACAUCCUGGGUCCCUCUUCCUGGCACGGAGGUCACAGAGGGCCAGGACGUCGCUCCGUCUCUCUCCACAUCUCUCGCUUCCUUCCCCCACCCUGUCCAGCUUCAUGAUUGUAUCCAAAAAACCUUGAAUGAAUGGAGUUCCCAAAUCAACCCAGAUUUGGUCAGGGUAAGUGAAAUGUGAAUGCAAAAAUCAUGCAGGUCAAAAAGGAAGUAAAGUAAACAGGAAGUUAAUUUCUUCAGUUUUGUGAGGGAAGUCAAAUAGGCAAUUAGCCAUAAACUCUCUGUGGUUGAUUUGCUGAGACGGCACUCUGAUCCAGUAGGCUUAUGCAUAAAACAGAAAAUCUAGACCGUAGGCAACUCUUUAACCAGACAAGAUACUAGGAUUCUCAUGCUUAAUUCUCACCAUGGUUUCCUCACUAUCAG